RNAcentral lists this non-coding RNA (23 nucleotides) under Cricetulus griseus (Chinese hamster). Lineage: Eukaryota; Metazoa; Chordata; Mammalia; Rodentia; Cricetidae. The record is from RNAcentral.
UUGGGUGCUGACGGUGGGGGUUA